AUUGAACGCUGGCGGCAUGCCUUACACAUGCAAGUCGAACGGCAGCACGGGUGCUUGCACCUGGUGGCGAGUGGCGAACGGGUGAGUAAUACAUCGGAACAUGUCCUGUAGUGGGGGAUAGCCCGGCGAAAGCCGGAUUAAUACCGCAUACGAUCUACGGAUGAAAGCGGGGGACCUUCGGGCCUCGCGCUAUAGGGUUGGCCGAUGGCUGAUUAGCUAGUUGGUGGGGUAAAGGCCUACCAAGGCGACGAUCGGUAGCUGGUCUGAGAGGACGACCAGCCACACUGGGACUGAGACACGGCCCAGACUCCUACGGGAGGCAGCGGUGGGGAAUUUUGGACAAUGGGCGAAAGCCUGAUCCAGCAAUGCCGCGUGUGUGAAGAAGGCCUUCGGGUUGUAAAGCACUUUUGUCCGGAAAGAAAUCCUUGGCUCUAAUACAGUCGGGGGAUGACGGUACCGGAAGAAUAAGCACCGGCUAACUACGUG
RNAcentral lists this ribosomal RNA (486 nucleotides) under uncultured bacterium. Its description in RNAcentral is "partial 16S ribosomal RNA". It matches the Rfam family "Bacterial small subunit ribosomal RNA", at positions 30 to 507 of the family's 1533-position model. The record is from RNAcentral.